This 24-nucleotide non-coding RNA is filed under the name Arabidopsis thaliana (thale cress). The record is from RNAcentral. Lineage: Eukaryota; Viridiplantae; Streptophyta; Magnoliopsida; Brassicales; Brassicaceae.
AACCGUUUUAUACGGUUACGGUUG